This 403-nucleotide ribosomal RNA is filed under the name bacterium. RNAcentral describes it as "partial 16S ribosomal RNA". It matches the Rfam family "Bacterial small subunit ribosomal RNA", at positions 355 to 776 of the family's 1533-position model. The record is from RNAcentral.
UGGGGAAUAUUGCACAAUGGGGGAAACCCUGAUGCAGCGACGCCGCGUGAACGAAGAAGGUAUUCGUAUCGUAAAGUUCUGUCCUAUGGGAAGAUAAUGACAGUACCAUAGAAGAAAGCUCCGGCUAAAUACGUGCCAGCAGCCGCGGUAAUACGUAUGGAGCGAGCGUUGUCCGGAAUUAUUGGGCGUAAAGGGUACGCAGGCGGUUUAAUAAGUCGAAUGUUAAAGAUCGGGGCUCAACCCCGCAAAGCAUUGGAAACUGAUAAACUUGAGUAGUGGAGAGGAAAGUGGAAUUCCUAGUGUAGUGGUGAAAUACGUAGAUAUUAUGAGGAAUACCAGUAGCGAAGGCGACUUUCUGGACACAAACUGACGCUGAGGUACGAAAGCGUGGGGAGCAAACAGG